RNAcentral lists this ribosomal RNA (253 nucleotides) under uncultured prokaryote. Its description in RNAcentral is "partial 16S ribosomal RNA". It matches the Rfam family "Bacterial small subunit ribosomal RNA", at positions 525 to 777 of the family's 1533-position model. The record is from RNAcentral.
ACAGAGGGUGCGAGCGUUGACCGGAAUCACUGGGCGUAAAGCGCACGUAGGCGGAUUUGUAAGUCAGGGGUGAAAUCCCGGGGCUCAACCUCGGAACUGCCUUUGAUACUGCAAAUCUCGAGUCCGGAAGAGGUGAGUGGAAUUCCUAGUGUAGAGGUGAAAUCCGUAGAUAUUGGGAAGAACACCAGUGGCGAAGGCGGCUCACUGGUCCGGUACUGACGCUGAGGUGCGAAAGCGUGGGGAGCAAACAGGA